GCCCUUCGGGGCAUAUGGUCAAAUGAAAAUAUACAGAGAAGAUUAGCAUGGCCCCUGCACUAAGGAUGACAUGUCUCAAUCAAAGAGCAGCUACCUAUUUUU
Small nuclear RNA from Penicillium nordicum, 102 nucleotides. The record is from Rfam. NCBI's taxonomy places the organism in Eukaryota, Fungi, Ascomycota, Eurotiomycetes, Eurotiales, Aspergillaceae.